GCUAUACGCUGGAGGGCGUCGCUCUAUAACAUUAAGUCGAGCGAACAGAGAAGGAGCUUGCUCCUUUGACGUUAGCGGCGGACGGGUGAGUAACACGUGGGCAACCUACCUUAUAGUUUGGGAUAACUCCGGGAAACCGGGGCUAAUACCGAAUAAUCUGUUUCACCUCAUGGUGAAAUAUUGAAAGACGGUUUCGGCUGUCGCUAUAGGAUGGGCCCGCGGCGCAUUAGCUAGUUGGUGAGGUAACGGCUCACCAAGGCGACGAUGCGUAGCCGACCUGAGAGGGUGAUCGGCCACACUGGGACUGAGACACGGCCCAGACUCCUACGGGAGGCAGCAGUAGGGAAUCUUCCACAAUGGGCGAAAGCCUGAUGGAGCAACGCCGCGUGAGUGAAGAAGGAUUUCGGUUCGUAAAACUCUGUUGUAAGGGAAGAACAAGUACAGUAGUAACUGGCUGUACCUUGACGGUACCUUAUUAGAAAGCCACGGCUAACUACGUGCCAGCAGCCGCGGUAAUACGUAGGUGGCAAGCGUUGUCCGGAAUUAUUGGGCGUAAAGCGCGCGCAGGUGGUUUCUUAAGUCUGAUGUGAAAGCCCACGGCUCAACCGUGGAGGGUCAUUGGAAACUGGGAGACUUGAGUGCAGAAGAGGAUAGUGGAAUUCCAAGUGUAGCGGUGAAAUGCGUAGAGAUUUGGAGGACACCAGUGGCGAAGCGACUAUCUGGUCUGUAACUGACACUGAGGCGCGAAAGCGUGGGGAGCAACAGAUAGAUACCCUGUAGUCCACGCCGUAACGAUGAGUGCUAGUGUAGGGG
RNAcentral lists this ribosomal RNA (813 nucleotides) under Lysinibacillus fusiformis. RNAcentral describes it as "bacterial SSU rRNA". It matches the Rfam family "Bacterial small subunit ribosomal RNA", at positions 28 to 827 of the family's 1533-position model. The record is from RNAcentral. Lineage: Bacteria; Bacillati; Bacillota; Bacilli; Caryophanales; Bacillaceae.